Molecule: long non-coding RNA, 2712 nt
Organism: Equus caballus (horse)
Lineage: Eukaryota; Metazoa; Chordata; Mammalia; Perissodactyla; Equidae
Source: Ensembl
GAAGAGGAUUCCAUCAAGUCAGGCAAAAUUAAUUAGCUUCAAUCUCAACGCUGAGCUGCCAGGUCAAUUUCACAGCGUAAUCACUUGGAGCUCCUGCAUUAACGGGACAAUGUUGCCGCAUAAGCAUUCAAUAUCCCAUUUUUGGCCGUGCAUGGGCAAGCCUAAGAAUUAGGUACGAGCCCAGCUGCCCUCCUUGCUUUGGAUCUGGGGAUAAUCAAAUUUUGUAGAAUGUUUCUCAUAGAGAAACACAAUAGCUGCUGUCCGUAUAUUUUCCUCCUCCCACACUCACCUCCCCAGCUCUGGGAAGAAGUUGAACUCCUCCGUCUGGGCCUGUGGGCAAGGCUGGGCCUCAGUUUCCUCUUCUGUGAGAUGGACAUCACCUCAUUCGCAGGGCUGCUGUGAGGGUUAAAGAAAAUAAGAUGUGUCACUCACAGAGCCUGGCACGGAGCAGGACUCCAACGAGGCAAGUUCACAGCCUCAAAUGGCACACCCUUCGUGGGUUUGCCAGGUCCUUCAUGGUGCCAGCAUCCGGCACUGUGUGUGCUGAGGAUGGAGAGUUGACUGCCCCUCCCAGAGAGGUUCAGUGUUGGGCACGUCUCAACCAUCGUAUCAUGCACUCGCCACCUCAAACAGGAGCAGAGCCCUCACGCCCUCCAGGGAUGGGCUUAUGGUUUAUGAAAACGGCUAAAAACUAGGUUCUGUGAGCUCUCUGCCUGCACAAGGGUCAGGGGUCAGAGGUGAGAGCCAACCAGGGUGUGUAACAGACUGCCCACCCAGGAGUUCUUACUGAACUCUUCACCCCUCUGUCCUACAGGACCAACAUCAGGUUCCAAAAGCUUCCAUGGGGCAAGCAAGAGAACGUGCCAGCCACCCAAGACGUGGCCCUGCAGACAGGCCUGGACACAGCGUCCCCGGCAGAUGGUGGACCAUGCUGCAGGACCCGGAUGCUUCCAUUCGCUCACCACGAAGAGAGGCGAGCGGCUUCCAGACCUGCGCGCCCAUCAGGCACAGCUCGAAUGAAGCCAGGUCAGGACAGGAGCUGACAGCGGCCACCUCCCAUCCUCCCAUCUCCCACCCGCUCAGAGGCGUCCCUGCCCUGGGGAGCUGCCUUCCGGACAGCUGCAGAGAGAAGGCCUUCACAACGAUGGCUCAAAGAUGCUUCCUCCAGGAACAAAGGUAGCUGGGAAAGAAUGCAAGACAAAAAUCUUCUUUUCAUUGCAGCAUUUUUUUUCUUCUCCUGUAAAUUGUAUCUGAAAGGUCACUCUUCGCGGUCGACGGCUUUCUGAGGAACACACUUUCUUUCUGCUCCUCAGUCAUGGGGUCUGCUUGUCACAAGACAGAGAGGCUGACGCGGUGGCUGCUCCUAUAAAAUCUUAAAUUGCAACCACGUGAAUUGCUAUAAUACAACUUCCUGGGGCUCUGAGGUUCUGGCCUUUUUAGAAAUUGAAUUUAUUGGCCGCUCUGCUUUCAGAUGCCCCUUGCCGAUUCUGGCUUUUGAAAGGGGCCAUAAACCCUGAGUGCAAGGCUGGUUUUCUGCAGCCUCCCGAGAGGCGGUGAUCCUUGUUCAUCCAUCCAUAUGCUCAUGGUGUAUCCACCCACCCAUCCAUCCAUCCACUCGGACGCUCCUCUGUUCCCACAACAGCGAUGGGCUGAGGGCCAGGCUCUGUCCUGGAAAGUAGGGAGACAGCAGUAGAAGCACAGACGAGGUCCCCGGUCCCGUGGAACAGGCAUCUGGGGCGGGUAGAGACAAGUAAACCAGCAUAGCAGGAUAAUUUUUCAGGGAUGUUGCUACAACCUGGUUUAGAAAUAAGCGUCUUAUUCCCCCAAAGAGAUAAGGCUGGGUCUUCCUUUACCUGCUGGGUGAGGACAGGAAGAAGCUUUUGUUUUCAAAACUCUGGGCAAGCGGUACCACGCUGCCCACUUCAGGCCGCCCUUCAGCCCCUGUCCUCAGCCUAGCAAGGCUUUUAAAGACACAGCAUCUGGGCAGGCAGGAGGCUGGCGUCCCAUGUUGACGUUAACUGCUCCUGCUCUGCAGGUAGCUGGGGAGGUGCCUGUUGUCUGUGCCCAGUGAAGAGGAACUGGGCUGGCAGUCGCUUCAAUCUUGGCUGCAGGUUAGAAUCACUUGGAACUUUCGAAAGUCCCCAUGCCCAGACUACAUCCAGGUGAUUAAACUGGGAAAUCUGAGGUGAGAGCCGGUGGUCAGUAGUUUUUAAAUCUCUGCAGGUGAAUCCGAUGAGAACAGCUGAUCUGAGUGCUUUGCGGUGUUGAAUGUGGGGGACUGGAGGAGUGAGGCCCCAGCCCCUCGGGAUCAGCUGCAGGAGGUGACGGUUUGGGUGUCUGUCCCUGCUGGGAACCAGGACCUCAUCGCAGAGGCCUCCCCAGUGAAGCAGGGACAUGCUGGUGACUCAGCAAGGGAAAGGGCAGGGUGGCCACCAUGGAUCGUGACGGCCUCAUGGCGUUUCUGUAAGGACAGCCCAGAAGUGGCUGGACCUGGCUUCCUCAUGAGCUGAAUCUCAGAGCCGGCCUUUGUGUUAUUGAGAAAAGUCAGGAGAUGGUCACUUUCAUGCCUCGAGCGCCACAUAAGUAACUCAUCUUACAGGGUGACAAGUGCUGGGAGGGAGAGGCCCUGAGAGAGGGUCACCGAGCAGGCGAGUCCUUCCCUCCCUUUACUGCACCUGUCAGCCACCCACACCUGCCCUGCCAGGUCACAGC